This 460-nucleotide ribosomal RNA is filed under the name uncultured bacterium. RNAcentral describes it as "partial 16S ribosomal RNA". It matches the Rfam family "Bacterial small subunit ribosomal RNA", at positions 338 to 795 of the family's 1533-position model. The record is from RNAcentral.
CCUACGGGUGGCAGCAGUGAGGAAUAUUGGUCAAUGGACGCAAGUCUGAACCAGCCAUGCCGCGUGCAGGAAGACGGCUCUAUGAGUUGUAAACUGCUUUUGUACGAGGGUAAACGCAGAUACGCGUAUCUGUCUGAAAGUAUCGUACGAAUAAGGAUCGGCUAACUCGGUGCCAGCAGCCGCGGUAAUACGGAGGAUUACAGCGUUAUCCGGAUUUAUUGGGUUUAAAGGGUGCGUAGGCGGUCGGAUAAGGUAGAAGUGAAAUCCCGAGGCUCAACUUCGGAAUUGCCUCUGAUACUGUUAGGCUAGAGAGUAGUUGCGGUAGGCGGAAUGUAUGGUGUAGCGGUGAAAUGCUUAGAGAUCAUAAAGAACACCGAUUGCGAAGGCAGCUUACCAAGCUACUUCUGACGUUGAGGCACGAAAGCGUGGGGAGCAAACAGGAUUAGAUACCCCUGUAGUC